RNAcentral lists this ribosomal RNA (465 nucleotides) under uncultured bacterium. Its description in RNAcentral is "partial 16S ribosomal RNA". It matches the Rfam family "Bacterial small subunit ribosomal RNA", at positions 338 to 795 of the family's 1533-position model. The record is from RNAcentral.
CCUACGGGAGGCAGCAGUGGGGAAUUUUGGACAAUGGGCGCAAGCCUGAUCCAGCUAUUCCGCGUGUGGGAAGACGGCCUUCGGGUUGUAAACCACUUUUGUAGAGAACGAAAAGUCUGUUGAUAAUACCGAUAGAUGAUGACGGUACUCUAAGAAUAAGCACCGGCUAACUACGUGCCAGCAGCCGCGGUAAUACGUAGGGUGCGAGCGUUAAUCGGAAUUACUGAGCGUAAAGGGUGUGCAGGCGGUUUUGCAAGAUGGAUGUGAAAGCCCCGGGCUUAACCUGGGAAAGCCAUACAUGACUGCAAGACUAGAGUGCGUCAGAGGGGGGUGGAAUUCCAAGUGUAGCAGUGAAAUGCGUAGAUAUUUGGAAGAACACCGAUGGCGAAGGCAGCCCCCUGGGACGCAACUGACGCUCAUACACGAAAGCGUGGGGAGCAAACAGGAUUAGAUACCCGGGUAGUC